ACGGGAAAUGGAAAUUAUAGGUUUUGCGUUGGAAAUGCCAUGGGUUCAGGAUUGAAUUGUGUGGGCAUCUCAAUAAGCCAGGGAAUCUAGGUAGAGGAGCAGAUAGAGCUCCGCGAUGUUAGUGGUUGCUUGAUCUACCCUGCCAGGAGGGAGGAGUUCGAUAUGGACAUUCUCCACACAGACCAUGUGAAGAGGGCGGUGGAUGUCCAACUUUGCAAUAAAUUUAAGUCCUAUCUUGGCAAAAUGCGCGAACAUUUUCGUGCGAUGGGAGAUGAAGCAGAAACCCAC
Molecule: long non-coding RNA, 288 nt
Organism: Malania oleifera
Lineage: Eukaryota; Viridiplantae; Streptophyta; Magnoliopsida; Santalales; Ximeniaceae
Exons: 3
Source: RefSeq, a predicted model, not a curated record